CCUACGGGAGGCAGCAGUGAGGAAUAUUGGUCAAUGGUCGGAAGGCUGAACCAGCCAAGUCGCGUGAAGGAAGAAGGAUCUGUGUUUUGUAAACUUCUUUUAUAGGGGAAUAAAGGUAUCCACGUGUGGAUAUUUGCAUGUACCUUAUGAAUAAGCAUCGGCUAACUCCGUGCCAGCAGCCGCGGUAAUACGGAGGAUGCGAGCGUUAUCCGGAUUUAUUGGGUUUAAAGGGUGCGUAGGUUGUUUUUUAAGUCAGCGGUGAAAGUUUGUGGCUCAACCAUAAAAUUGCCGUUGAAACUGGAAGACUUGAGUGUGUUUGAGGUAGGCGGAAUGCGUGGUGUAGCGGUGAAAUGCAUAGAUAUCACGCAGAACUCCGAUUGCGAAGGCAGCUUACUAAGCCAAAACUGACGCUGAAGCACGAAAGCGUGGGUAUCAAACAGGAUUAGAUACCCGAGUAGUC
This 460-nucleotide ribosomal RNA is filed under the name uncultured bacterium. RNAcentral describes it as "partial 16S ribosomal RNA". It matches the Rfam family "Bacterial small subunit ribosomal RNA", at positions 338 to 795 of the family's 1533-position model. The record is from RNAcentral.